UGCCCCAUGGCUGAGUUGGUUACAGCGUCCGACUGUUAUCUGCGCUCCAGUGGAAAGUCAUCGGAAGGUCGUGAGUUCGAGCCUCACUGGGGCAG
Non-coding RNA from Lactifluus volemus, 95 nucleotides. The record is from the annotation of a GenBank genome assembly. Lineage: Eukaryota; Fungi; Basidiomycota; Agaricomycetes; Russulales; Russulaceae.